Molecule: ribosomal RNA, 253 nt
Filed under: uncultured bacterium
Lineage: Bacteria
Description: partial 16S ribosomal RNA
Rfam family: Bacterial small subunit ribosomal RNA
Source: RNAcentral
UACGUAGGGUGCAAGCGUUGUCCGGAAUUAUUGGGCGUAAAGAGCUCGUAGGCGGUUCGUCGCGUCGGCUGUGAAAGCCCGGAGCUCAACUCCGGGCCUGCAGUCGAUACGGGCGGACUUGAGUGUUGCAGGGGAGACUGGAAUUCCUGGUGUAGCGGUGAAAUGCGCAGAUAUCGGGAAGAACACCUAUGGCGAAGGCAGCUCUCUGGGACGGUACUGACGCUGAGGCGCGAAAGCGUGGGGAGCAAACAGG